CCAAAUGCCUCGUCAUCUA
This 19-nucleotide small nuclear RNA is filed under the name Arabidopsis thaliana (thale cress). Its description in RNAcentral is "snRNA_03434". Lineage: Eukaryota; Viridiplantae; Streptophyta; Magnoliopsida; Brassicales; Brassicaceae. The record is from RNAcentral.